RNAcentral lists this long non-coding RNA (768 nucleotides) under Nicotiana benthamiana. Its description in RNAcentral is "long non-coding RNA (NBEN_LNC019615)". Lineage: Eukaryota; Viridiplantae; Streptophyta; Magnoliopsida; Solanales; Solanaceae. The record is from RNAcentral.
ACUACCUAGUAUAGUCCCACAAAGUGGGGUCUGGGGAGGGUAAUAUGUAGACGAGCCUUUCCCCUACCCGAAAGGGCAGAGAGACUGUUUCCAAUCGACCCUCGGCGCAUAGGAAAAAGGUAAAUCAGCUGUAAAACAAAAACAAAAAAAAAACAAUAACAAUAGAGCAUUAGUAUCACCCGCAGAAAUAGCAGAAAUAGCGGAAAUAAUUAUCUAAACAUAAGGAACCUAAAUACAAUCGCAUACAAAAGAGAAAGAGCUCAGGUAAGCAGUGCUUAAUAUCAUAUCUUCACCUUUUAGGGUGUUGAUUCACUAAAACUCUUCACUCCAGGAGGAAUGUUACUGCCUUUACAUUGAAUUAGAUGCAUAGACAAGUGAAUAAUAUAAACUUGUAAAGCAUAAAAGCUUUAAACUAUCUAGCUACAUUAAACAGUAGAUACACAAUUAAUACAACAACAAUGCAAAUUAGACCACAUUCUACAAAUAUCUACUACUCAAGACUCAUAACACAAAAUUUAUUUUAGAGCUGAGCUUUCAAUAACAAUAAAAAUCCUCUCAACUUAAACAGCAGGAUACCACAAUUUCCACAACCCAAUCUUACCUCGACCUUAUUAGCAGGCCCCAAAAAAAAUCUUUCAAUUAUGGACCUGAAAAAUACCAGAAUUUCCACAACCCAAUCUUACCUCGACCUUAUUAGCAAGCCCCAAAAAAAUCUUUCAAUUAUGGACCUGAAUGACAUUCUGAGUCAUAAAUGUCCAAAGGUCAGUC